RNAcentral lists this transfer RNA (76 nucleotides) under [Phormidium ambiguum] IAM M-71. RNAcentral describes it as "Phormidium ambiguum IAM M-71 tRNA". It matches the Rfam family "tRNA". From Rfam's summary of the family: Transfer RNA (tRNA) molecules are approximately 80 nucleotides in length. Their secondary structure includes four short double-helical elements and three loops (D, anti-codon, and T loops). The record is from Rfam by way of RNAcentral. Lineage: Bacteria; Bacillati; Cyanobacteriota; Cyanophyceae; Aerosakkonematales; Aerosakkonemataceae.
CGGGGUGUAGCGCAGCUUGGUCAAGCGCGUCUGUUUUGGGAACAGAAGGUCGCAGGUUCAAAUCCUGCCACUCCGA